UAUGUUAAUUAGACGCAGCUGGUGUGUUCCAGUAUCUCCCUGGCCUCCGUUGUUUGUGGAGGCUGCCUCUAGCCUAACCCAGCUGAGGUUUGCUGCGGUCUGUGAUUCCGGCUCCUGUCCCUGUCAUUGCUGCGGUUUUUUUGGCCACCAGUGGUUAGCUUCAGCGAGGAACGCCGCAACCCACUUGUUGAACCGUAGCAUGCCUUUCUGGACCAGCCCCACUUGAUGACGUUCUUCUGGUCUAACGGCACUCUUGUCUGGCUGAUUCCUGACGUGUGGUCGUGGGGCUGAGAACCAGUUGGUGGUUCGAAAUGGGAGUCGUGCAGAUACCAGACUGGCCUGGAUGGAUGUAUUUGUACCUUCACCCCAUUCCGUAUCAAUCACUUGCUUAUAGUUAGGGUUUGCCGCUUUAAUGGCCUGAUUGUUAAACUGCAUUGACCUGGAUAGGCAGCUUAAUGCCCUGAAGAUGAGCCUUUACAUAUUUAACUUGAGUGUCAGUAGGCUACAAUAAUCAAUGUUUCUGCAACCUCUGAUUUACAACACAGGCAGCCCCAUGGUGCUUUUUCCUUUUGACAUUUUAGUUUAUGUUUUAUCAAAUAUCUUUCUAAUCAUCCAGUGCACAUGUUUGCUAUGAACUGACUUCAAUCUUCAUAUCCAUCUGCUAGAGAGCAUGAGGACCAGCAAAGUUGCUAUCACAAGUCUGCCUGAACUAACACUUGUUACCUCAUGAAUAAACUCUUUUAAUGCACAAAUUGUUUGUUUUAAUGCUGGUUUUGCUAGACGUGCAGGGAAAUGUAUUGUCUUGCAAUUCUAUUCAGGCUUGCUUCGGUUUUGAAGAUGCGAUUCUAAAUUUUUGAUCAAAUUAUCAUUGUAUAGUGUCUUUCAAAUUGUUAUUUGGUGUGUAUAUAGUAUUAACGUUGACAAUAUUUUAGACAAUCAAUCCUAAUGGAGGUUACAACUACUGUGCAAUAUCAUUUGAAUAAAGUGUCCUCCCUACAGCUUCUGCUGAUCUAA
Molecule: long non-coding RNA, 1014 nt
Organism: Gadus morhua (Atlantic cod)
Lineage: Eukaryota; Metazoa; Chordata; Actinopteri; Gadiformes; Gadidae
Exons: 4
Source: RefSeq, a predicted model, not a curated record